Non-coding RNA from Pelobates cultripes (western spadefoot toad), 396 nucleotides. The record is from the annotation of a GenBank genome assembly. NCBI's taxonomy places the organism in Eukaryota, Metazoa, Chordata, Amphibia, Anura, Pelobatidae.
GGAUUGAGGGCCUGCUCAGUGAGUUUACAUGUUAGAGGGAGUGGGGUAUAGUGACACAGUAACAGAGGGAUUGAGGGCCCUGCUCAGUGAGUUUACAUGUUAGAGGGAGUGGGGUAUAGUGACACAGUAACAGAGGGAUUGAGGGCCUGCUCAGUGAGUUUACAUGUUAGAGGGAGUGGGGUAUAGUGACACAGUAACAGAGGGAUUGAGGGCCCUGCUCAGUGAGUUUACAUGUUAGAGGGAGUGGGGUAUAGUGACACAGUAACAGAGGGAUUGAGGGCCCUGCUCAGUGAGCUUACAUGCUAGAGGGAGUGGGGUAUAGUGACACAGUAACAGAGGGAUUGAGGGCCUGCUCAGUGAGCUUACAUGCUAGAGGGAGUGGGGUAUAGUGACUCA